RNAcentral lists this microRNA precursor (61 nucleotides) under Pristionchus pacificus. Its description in RNAcentral is "mir-8364 microRNA precursor family". It matches the Rfam family "mir-8364 microRNA precursor family". Lineage: Eukaryota; Metazoa; Nematoda; Chromadorea; Rhabditida; Neodiplogasteridae. The record is from Rfam by way of RNAcentral.
UCUUCAUUUCACGCACUCUCUCACUGGUCAGAGAGGCGAGAGAGCACGCGAUAUGAGGAGU